AAGUGAACCAGAGAAAUAUCUAGAAUUUGAAAAUAUGAUACCUGAACGUGAUGACUGGAGUUUGCAUGACAUGUGAUUUGCAUCUCUGUGAUCAGGACUUACCACACCCUGGCUGCUCCUCUCUGAU
Molecule: small nucleolar RNA, 127 nt
Filed under: Castor canadensis (American beaver)
Lineage: Eukaryota; Metazoa; Chordata; Mammalia; Rodentia; Castoridae
Description: U8 small nucleolar RNA (ENSCCNG00000009080.1)
Rfam family: U8 small nucleolar RNA
About the family: U8 is a member of the C/D class of snoRNA which contain the C (UGAUGA) and D (CUGA) box motifs. U8 is the RNA component of a small complex (the U8 snoRNP) which is required for accumulation of mature large subunit ribosomal RNAs, 5.8S and 28S rRNAs. U8 RNA has been identified in human, mouse, rat and Xenopus.
Source: Rfam by way of RNAcentral